AGUGAACGCUGGCGGUAGGCCUAACACAUGCAAGUCGAACGGCAGCACAGUAAGAGCUUGCUCUUACGGGUGGCGAGUGGCGGACGGGUGAGGAAUACAUCGGAAUCUACUUUUUCGUGGGGGAUAACGUAGGGAAACUUACGCUAAUACCGCAUACGACCUACGGGUGAAAGCAGGGGAUCUUCGGACCUUGCGCGAUUGAAUGAGCCGAUGUCGGAUUAGCUAGUUGGCGGGGUAAAGGCCCACCAAGGCGACGAUCCGUAGCUGGUCUGAGAGGAUGAUCAGCCACACUGGAACUGAGACACGGUCCAGACUCCUACGGAAGGCAGCAGUGGGGAAUAUUGGACAAUGGGCGCAAGCCUGAUCCAGCCAUACCGCGUGGGUGAAGAAGGCCUUCGGGUUGUAAAGCCCUUUUGUUGGGAAAGAAAAGCAGCAGGUUAAUACCCGGCUGUUCUGACGGUACCCAAAGAAUAAGCACCGGCUAACUUCGUG
RNAcentral lists this ribosomal RNA (492 nucleotides) under uncultured bacterium. RNAcentral's name for it is "partial 16S ribosomal RNA". It matches the Rfam family "Bacterial small subunit ribosomal RNA", at positions 29 to 507 of the family's 1533-position model. The record is from RNAcentral.